This 301-nucleotide ribosomal RNA is filed under the name uncultured bacterium. Its description in RNAcentral is "partial 16S ribosomal RNA". It matches the Rfam family "Bacterial small subunit ribosomal RNA", at positions 509 to 807 of the family's 1533-position model. The record is from RNAcentral.
CAGCCGCCGCGGGAAAACGUAGGUGGCAAGCGUUGUCCGGAAUUAUUGGGCGUAAAGGGUGCGUAGGCGGUUUCGUAAGUCUUAUGUGAAAUCUAUGGGCUCAACCCAUAGUCUGCAUGGGAAACUGCGAGGCUUGAGGAUGGGAGAGGUGAGUGGAAUUUCCGGUGUAGCGGUGAAAUGCGUAGAUAUCGGAAGGAACACCUGUGGCGAAAGCGGCUCACUGGACCAUUUCUGACGCUGAUGCACGAAAGCUAGGGGAGCAAACAGGAUUAGAUACCCCGGUAGUCCCUGUCUCUUAUAC